UCCAGCAGAAGGAUCAGGCCAUCAAGGAGAGAGGCGCCUUUCUCUGAAGGGAGGAAGGAACCUCCACUGUGAUAUGGCCUUGACUAAACAAAUACAGAGUUGGUGAACUCAAGGGGCCUCCAUAGCCUAGACAGCUCAUAGCAAGAGUCUCGGGUGAUUGCUGACGUCAUAAAUAAGAGUGCCAAUUGUUAAAUCAACAAUGGAGUCACUGGGUUCAUGCUCCCCUCGCAGGAUCUCUGUCCUUAAUAUGUUUAUCUAUGAAACUCAAAAACAACACUACUAGUCGAACAAUACCCUAUACCUGGUUCGGUUGUGUGAGUGCAACCUGUUGAAAUCCCUGCUUAGUAUAGACUAAAUUGAUCUUCGGUAUAUGAAGAGGCUGUGGCACCAUUACUUCUGUUCCCACUGCAGAAGUAGUAAAUUUCCAUCCUGACAAACUUACAAGAAAAUUGUGCUGGAACAGAGCUCUUUGAAAACCAUGGUUUUAUAUUCCACUGAAGUUUCCUUUUCAUCUCCAGAAAGGAGCCAGGAAAACUUCUUCUGGAAGAACACGGAUUAUUCAGAAUCUCAGUGGACAUCUAUACAUCAUUGCUCAACCUUCCACUCCUUCGUUAACAAGGAUUCUGUUUUUCUGUCUACGUAGUCUGUGCUUUGUAUCACAGAAAAGUUCAUUCAUCAUGAUUUGGUGUUCUUAGCUCAUCACUCAAUACAUCUUCUGGCAUCCUGGUAGAGUUUGUUUCUUGCAGAAGAUGAACCCAGCCCGAUUUGAUUGUCAAAGGCCUAACUGCAAGCCUCACUGUUUGGCUCUCUGCAGUGCCCGUGCGACUGAGGUUUUCUCUGGUCACCAGGAGUUCCGUGCAACAGGACUUACCAGGAAGCCCUUGAAGGAUGAUUAAGAACAUUCCAGAAAGAGUGCCGAAUUCUCCCUUCCAGCCAAGCCUUCAGCUUAGCAAUGAGGACCGAGCCCUUCCGGAAUCCCUGGCUCAAGCCUACUUCUCAUCUCCACACCUGGCAUUGAUUAAUUACAGUAGGUAAAAAGCAGAGUUGAGCUUCCUCUUGAAUUGUUUGCUUUAGAAAAAUAUCUGAACAGCCUUCCAAAGAGGUGACAGUUAUCUAACAAGAAGAAAUGACAAGAGUUCUUUUACAACUUUUCUAAAUGCUUUCAUAUGUAUUGAUUUGGUUAUUUGGGCAAACUUAUAAAUUGAUAAUUACUUCGGUUUCACACUUGCAGAAAAAGAAAAGGGUAGACCUAAAUUCUAAGGAAAAAGAAUAUAUCAACUAUUUCCCUAAAUUUCUCUUCAAACAGAAUCUAAUAUGUGCUGCGGACUGUGAGCCAGUUAGAAUUCAUAGCCUUUGACUUGAUUUAAGUGAAGUCACAAUUGCUGAUUUGAUCCCCAUCAGAAUUCCUUACCAAUUGGCUUGCUCUUUUCAGAAGGAAGAAUAUAUGUUUCUAAUCAAUCUUCCUAACAAAUGUGAGCAUUAGUAUCUAAUGAGACUGACAGCCAAAGGAUGAAACACACAUCACCAGGCCUGCUGUAAAGAAUCUACAAAACGGACUCUGUGGGGUCUUUAUUUGUGAAUAGGAAAAUUAAAGAUGUUACAA
This is a non-coding RNA of Oryctolagus cuniculus (rabbit), 1603 nucleotides long. NCBI's taxonomy places the organism in Eukaryota, Metazoa, Chordata, Mammalia, Lagomorpha, Leporidae. The record is from RefSeq and is a predicted model, not a curated record.